This 580-nucleotide ribosomal RNA is filed under the name uncultured fungus. Its description in RNAcentral is "eukaryotic LSU rRNA". The stretch from base 211 to 364 matches the Rfam family "5.8S ribosomal RNA". The record is from RNAcentral. Lineage: Eukaryota; Fungi.
AGUCGUAACAAGGUCUCCGUAGGUGAACCUGCGGAGGGAUCAUUACACAAAUAUGAAGGCGGGCUGGAACCUCUCGGGGUUACAGCCUUGCUGAAUUAUUCACCCUUGUCUUUUGCGUACUUCUUGUUUCCUUGGUGGGUUCGCCCACCACUAGGACAAACAUAAACCUUUUGUAAUUGCAAUCAGCGUCAGUAACAAAUUAAUAAUUACAACUUUCAACAACGGAUCUCUUGGUUCUGGCAUCGAUGAAGAACGCAGCGAAAUGCGAUAAGUAGUGUGAAUUGCAGAAUUCAGUGAAUCAUCGAAUCUUUGAACGCACAUUGCGCCCUUUGGUAUUCCAAAGGGCAUGCCUGUUCGAGCGUCAUUUGUACCCUCAAGCUUUGCUUGGUGUUGGGCGUCUUGUCUCUAGCUUUGCUGGAGACUCGCCUUAAAGUAAUUGGCAGCCGGCCUACUGGUUUCGGAGCGCAGCACAAGUCGCACUCUCUAUCAGCAAAGGUCUAGCAUCCAUUAAGCCUUUUUUUCAACUUUUGACCUCGGAUCAGGUAGGGAUACCCGCUGAACUUAAGCAUAUCAAAAGUCG